CCACAGGUCCAUGCUUUCUAACGGAAUCUCUUCUGUGAGGGCUGGUUGUCUGCGCUGGGAGCUGCCCGGAGAAUACACUCCGCAAGGUCAGGGAGAAGCAGAGCCGGAAGCAGCGAUGCUGUGUGUGACUUUAAGGAUGGAGUAA
RNAcentral lists this long non-coding RNA (145 nucleotides) under Capra hircus (goat). Its description in RNAcentral is "lncRNA (ENSCHIG00010008802.1)". Lineage: Eukaryota; Metazoa; Chordata; Mammalia; Artiodactyla; Bovidae. The record is from RNAcentral.